RNAcentral lists this ribosomal RNA (243 nucleotides) under uncultured fungus. RNAcentral's name for it is "partial 18S small subunit ribosomal RNA". It matches the Rfam family "Eukaryotic small subunit ribosomal RNA", at positions 365 to 607 of the family's 1831-position model. Lineage: Eukaryota; Fungi. The record is from RNAcentral.
GGGAAUAAGGGUUCGAUUCCGGAGAGGGAGCCUGAGAAACGGCUACCACAUCCAAGGAAGGCAGCAGGCGCGCAAAUUACCCAAUCCCGACACGGGGAGGUAGUGACAAUAAAUAACAAUAUAGGGCCCUCUCGGGUCUUAUAAUUGGAAUGAGUACAAUUUAAAUCCCUUAACGAGGAACAAUUGGAGGGCAAGUCUGGUGCCAGCAGCCGCGGUAAUUCCAGCUCCAAUAGCGUAUAUUAA